RNAcentral lists this transfer RNA (73 nucleotides) under Entomophthora muscae. RNAcentral's name for it is "tRNA-Ala". It matches the Rfam family "tRNA". From Rfam's summary of the family: Transfer RNA (tRNA) molecules are approximately 80 nucleotides in length. Their secondary structure includes four short double-helical elements and three loops (D, anti-codon, and T loops). Lineage: Eukaryota; Fungi; Entomophthoromycota; Entomophthoromycetes; Entomophthorales; Entomophthoraceae. The record is from RNAcentral.
GGGGAAUUGGCUCAAAUGCUAGAGCGCUCGCUUAGCAUGCGAGAGGCACGGGGAUCGAUGCCCUGAUUCUCCA